RNAcentral lists this small nuclear RNA (162 nucleotides) under Capsella rubella. RNAcentral describes it as "U1 spliceosomal RNA". It matches the Rfam family "U1 spliceosomal RNA". Rfam says of the family: U1 is a small nuclear RNA (snRNA) component of the spliceosome (involved in pre-mRNA splicing). Lineage: Eukaryota; Viridiplantae; Streptophyta; Magnoliopsida; Brassicales; Brassicaceae. The record is from Rfam by way of RNAcentral.
AUACUUACCUGGACGGGGUCAACACACGAUCAUGAAGGUGUGUGGCCUAAGCUAGUGACUUCUAUUGCACUUUGAAAGUGUGCUUAGCUUAAGGUCUUCCCAAGUGGAAGAUCCUGCGUCAUUAUUUGUUGCUGAGGGGGCCUGCGUUCGCGCGGCCCCUCC